This 155-nucleotide microRNA precursor is filed under the name Oryza brachyantha (malo sina). RNAcentral's name for it is "MIR812 microRNA precursor family". It matches the Rfam family "MIR812 microRNA precursor family", at positions 27 to 187 of the family's 205-position model. Lineage: Eukaryota; Viridiplantae; Streptophyta; Magnoliopsida; Poales; Poaceae. The record is from Rfam by way of RNAcentral.
UAUAAUAUUUUGACUAUUUAUCUUAUUUGAUUUUAUUAAUAUUUCUAUUCUUACUAGAUAAUAAAACAUAAAUAGUACUUUAUGCGUGACUAAUUUUUUAAGUUUUUUAAUAAAUUUUUUAAAUAAGACGAAUGGUCAAACCUUGGACAUAGAAA